UGAAGUUUCUUUUUUGACUCAGUAUAUUUAUAAAUAUUAUGACGUACAAAGUAAUAUUUCUUAAUAUACUUAUUUCUCAAAGUAUGGUAGGCUGGAUAGACACAAAGCAAAUUAUAUUCAUCUUUAAUGACAUUCAAAUCACACAUUUUACAUAUUCUAUUUCUAUUUUAUUCCAAUAUAUCUACCUGUUUCUAUUAACAAAUCAUCGGAUGAGCAACGAAAUUUUGCAAGCGUGAUUCUAUUUUUCCGAACAUUCAAAGAUGAUGAAUAUGUUUCAUUGUAUAUAGAUUGCUUAAACAUGCUGUAAUUAAAAAAAAUCCCAUUCAUUUGAUACAGAUGUUUGGUCAAGCCAAUACGAGUACUUCAAAUCAGCAUCCCCUCAUACCCUCACAUCCUCACCACUAUAUGGCUGGAAUAAUGCCGAUUUGACGUAAACCCAACUCAACCGAUCUGCACAUCGACUUAAAAUUAAUGAAAGGAUUGUUGAGGCGAACAUAAAAUCAUCAUAGCUGAUUGACUGAGAGACGCAACAAACCUCUUUCACUAAUUUUGAGAAAUUUCUCUUUGAAGAUGGGGCCAGUGAGUUUUGCUUUUACGCCGCUUUUAGCAAUAUUCCAGCAACAUUACGUCGGGGGACACCAGAAAUGGGCUUCACACAAUGUACCCAUGUGGGGAUUCGAACCCGGGUCUUCGGCGUGACGAGCCAACGCUUUAACCACUUGGCUACCCCACCGCCCCCUAGAUGGGGCCAGUGAACGAUCUCAAUAUCAUUAGCAUGUUGUUGUGAAGCCCUGUUGAACAGUGAUGAUGUAAACUGUUCGCGAAAAUAUCAGCGUAUCCUGCAACCUGUAACAAAAGGUGAUGUUUUAAAAAGGAAUCGUCGUCAUUAUGAAUAUUUUAUGAAUCACAUGGGGAAUCCGAUCAAGUAUACAGGUCCCAGCAGCCUACUCCGAUGGGGUAUACAGGACCCAGCAGCCUACUACUUGGGAAUAUAAAAGUCUAUUUAUAGCAUACUCCGGGGGAAUAAACAGGUCUAUCUAUAUGUAGCCUACUCCGAGGGAGUAGGCAGGUCUAUAUGUAGCCUACACUGAGGGAGUAUACAGGUCUAUAUGUAGCCUACUCCGAGGGAGUAUACUGGUCUAUAUGUAGCCUACUCCGAGGGAGUAUACAGGUCUAUAUACAGCCUACUCCGAGGGAAUAUACAGGUCUAUAUGUAGCCUACUCCGAGGGAGUAUACAGGUCUAUAUACAGCCUACUCCAAGGGAAUAUACAGUUCUAUAUGCAGCCUACACCGAGGGAGUAUACAGGUCUAUAUGUAGCCUACUCCGAGGGAGUAUACAGGUCACAGCAGCCUGCUCCGAGGGAGUAUAUAUAUAGAGAUAUAUACAGAGUUUUACCUUUUCGUAUGAACCCUCUGAAAGGUGAGUGACAACUGAGGGCGACAGGUAAGUGACAACUGAGGGUGACAGGUCAGUGACAACUGAGGGUGACAGGUCAGUGACAAGGGGGGGUGACAGGUGAGUGACAACUGAGGGUGACAGGUGAGUGACAACUGAGGGUGACAGGUGAGUGACAAGGGAGGGUGACAGGUGAGUGACAACUGAGGGUGACAGGUGAGUAACAACUGAAGGUGACAGGUGAGUAACAACUGAAGGUGACAGGUGACAGGUGAGUGACAAGGGAGGGCGACAGGUGAGUGACAAGGGAGGGCGACAGGUGAGUGACAAUGGAGGAUGACAGGUAACAGGUGAAUGACAACUGAUGGUGACAGGUGACAGGUGAGUGACAACUGAGGGAGACAGGUGACAGGCGAGCGACAGCUGAUGAUGACAGGUGACAGGUGAGUGACAACUGAGGGUGACAGGUGAGUGACAGUUGAGGGUGACAGGUGACAGGUGAGUGACAGCUGAUGGUGACAGGUGAGUGAUAACUAAGGGUGACUGGUGAGUGACAACUGAGGGAGACAGGUGACAGGUGAGUGACAAGCAAGGGUGACAGGAGAGUGACAACUGAUGGU
Long non-coding RNA from Haliotis rubra (blacklip abalone), 2017 nucleotides. RefSeq lists it as uncharacterized. NCBI's taxonomy places the organism in Eukaryota, Metazoa, Mollusca, Gastropoda, Lepetellida, Haliotidae. The transcript is spliced from 3 exons. The record is from RefSeq and is a predicted model, not a curated record.